GAUGAACGCUGGCGGCGUGCCUAAUACAUGCAAGUCGAGCGAACAGACGAGGAGCUUGCUCCUCUGACGUUAGCGGCGGACGGGUGAGUAACACGUGGAUAACCUACCUAUAAGACUGGGAUAACUUCGGGAAACCGGAGCUAAUACCGGAUAACAUGUUGAACCGCAUGGUUCAACAGUGAAAGACGGUCUUGCUGUCACUUAUAGAUGGAUCCGCGCCGCAUUAGCUAGUUGGUAAGGUAACGGCUUACCAAGGCAACGAUGCGUAGCCGACCUGAGAGGGUGAUCGGCCACACUGGAACUGAGACACGGUCCAGACUCCUACGGGAGGCAGCAGUAGGGAAUCUUCCGCAAUGGGCGAAAGCCUGACGGAGCAACGCCGCGUGAGUGAAGAAGGUCUGCGGAUCGUAAAACGCUGUUAUUAGGGAAGAACAAAUGUGUAAGUAACUAUGCACGUCUUGACGGUACCUAAGCAGAAAGCCACGGCUAACUACGU
RNAcentral lists this ribosomal RNA (496 nucleotides) under uncultured bacterium. RNAcentral describes it as "partial 16S ribosomal RNA". It matches the Rfam family "Bacterial small subunit ribosomal RNA", at positions 28 to 506 of the family's 1533-position model. The record is from RNAcentral.